GUCAGCGCCAAGGCUGUACUCAGAGGAGGCUGGAGGCCUGGGCCGCCGUGAGCCGAGACUCUCACAGCCCACCUGCGCGCAGCCCCAUCCCACUGGUGCCACACGGGAAAGAACUGCCUGUGCUGCUUCCACUCCUCAGGAGGGGCCGGGGGAGACUGAGCCACAAUCUCUGGAGCCCCCCAAGAGGGGCCCAGAACAGACCUUCCUCACAGAAGAAAGUAAGGGAGGGGACCCACCAGAACCUGCGUCUGGAGUCACCUCCUCAGAGUGCUUUUGCCUUGAAGCAUCUGUCUGCCACCCCGACACCAAUACAGUACGGCCUGAUCUUCCUCCUUCCGGCUGAAAACCACCAUGAACCCUCCCUUCCUGCAAUCAAGGUUCCGAGGCCUCCGCCGCGGCCAGCACGUCCCUCAGAGCCCCUUACGAGCAGGUGUCACGCCGCGGGAAGAACCAC
RNAcentral lists this long non-coding RNA (454 nucleotides) under Sus scrofa (pig). RNAcentral describes it as "lncRNA (ENSSSCG00040012523.1)". The record is from RNAcentral. Lineage: Eukaryota; Metazoa; Chordata; Mammalia; Artiodactyla; Suidae.